CGAACGGGUGAGUAACACGUGAGCAACCUGCCCCCUACUUCGGGAUAAGCCUUGGAAACGGGGUCUAAUACCGGAUAUGAACACGUGCCGCAUGGUGGGUGUUGGAAAGUUUUUCGGUGGGGGAUGGGCUCGCGGCCUAUCAGCUUGUUGGUGGGGUAAUGGCCUACCAAGGCGUCGACGGGUAGCCGGCCUGAGAGGGCGACCGGCCACACUGGGACUGAGACACGGCCCAGACUCCUACGGGAGGCAGCAGUGGGGAAUAUUGCACAAUGGGCGAAAGCCUGAUGCAGCGACGCCACGUGAGGGAUGACGGCCUUCGGGUUGUAAACCUCUUUCAGCAGGGAAGAAGCGCAAGUGACGGUACCUGCAGAAGAAGCGCCGGCUAACUACGUGCCAGCAGCCGCGGUAAUACGUAGGGCGCAAGCGUUGUCCGGAAUUAUUGGGCGUAAAGAGCUCGUAGGCGGUCUGUCGCGUCUGGUGUGAAAUCCCAUGGCUCAACUGUGGGCUUGCAUCGGGUACGGGCAGACUAGAGUGCUGUAGGGGAGACUGGAAUUCCUGGUGUAGCGGUGGAAUGCGCAGAUAUCAGGAGGAACACCGAUGGCGAAGGCAGGUCUCUGGGCAGUUACUGACGCUGAGGAGCGAAAGCAUGGGGAGCGAACAGGAUUAGAUACCCUGGUAGUCCAUGCCGUAAACGUUGGGCACUAGGUGUGGGGCCAGUUCCACUGGUUCUGUGCCGUAGCUAACGCAUUAAGUGCCCCGCCUGGGGAGUACGGCCGCAAGGCUAAAACUCAAAGGAAUUGACGGGGGCCCGCACAAGCGGCGGAGCAUGCGGAUUAAUUCGAUGCAACGCGAAGAACCUUACCAAGGCUUGACAUGUACGAGAAAGCCCCAGAGAUGGGGUUCUCUUUGGACACUCGUACACAGGUGGUGCAUGGUUGUCGUCAGCUCGUGUCGUGAGAUGUUGGGUUAAGUCCCGCAACGAGCGCAACCCUUAUCCUAUGUUGCCAGCGGGUUAUGCCGGGGACUCAUGGGAGACUGCCGGGGUCAACUCGGAGGAAGGUGGGGAUGACGUCAAAUCAUCAUGCCCCUUAUGUCUUGGGCUUCACGCAUGCUACAAUGGCCGGUACAGAGGGCUGCGAUACCGUGAGGUGGAGCGAAUCCCAAAAAGCCGGUCUCAGUUCGGAUCGGGGUCUGCAACUCGACCCCGUGAAGUCGGAGUCGCUAGUAAUCGCAGAUCAGCAACGCUGCGGUGAAUACGUUCCCGGGCCUUGUACACACCGCCCGUCAAGUCACGAAAGUUG
This 1301-nucleotide ribosomal RNA is filed under the name Promicromonospora vindobonensis. RNAcentral describes it as "bacterial SSU rRNA". It matches the Rfam family "Bacterial small subunit ribosomal RNA", at positions 99 to 1413 of the family's 1533-position model. Lineage: Bacteria; Bacillati; Actinomycetota; Actinomycetes; Micrococcales; Promicromonosporaceae. The record is from RNAcentral.